Molecule: long non-coding RNA, 1854 nt
Organism: Ostrea edulis (European flat oyster)
Lineage: Eukaryota; Metazoa; Mollusca; Bivalvia; Ostreida; Ostreidae
Exons: 2
Source: RefSeq, a predicted model, not a curated record
AGUCGCUCUCUACAAAAUGAUUCACUUCACUUCAUAUCCCCAUUAACCUAAUUUCCCUCAUCACCAUUACCAACGAAUUCACAAACCGAUUAGCUUGAUACUCAUUAAAUCAUUCAGAAAUCAAGAAGUUAAAAUAAAAUUCUCGGCUUUCUCCUUUCGCCCGGAAGCGUCAGAUUGAAUACUAUUCGAAUACUUUCUAACCCCGUCCACCUCUUAAUUAUUCAUCAUCCCCACAAUACGAAGCCAAUCGAACCAUCGCUCGGGCUUGAAAUCUGACAAAAUAAACCACGGUUGAUCGAGAUGUGAAAUCAAUAUUGAUCAUAUAUGAUCCCACCUCUGGUGUGUCCAGGGGUCCGUGUUUGCCCAACUAUCUAUUUUGUAUUGCUUAUAGGAGUUAUGCGAUUGAUCACUGUUCGUUAUCUUCACCUUGCAUGAUAUCGUAGAUAUUACUUCACAUGAAAGAAGAGAUCGUCACCAAAACUGUCUUGUUAAUAACGCAGCCCAGUUAAGGUUUCAGUAAGGAGGCGUGGUCUAAUAUAUACAGAAAUGUGUAUUAUGACAUCACACAAAACAACAACCAAUCAUCUUGUUAACAAAGGAAAGCAUCCAGUUUACUGUAGAGAGAGGUUAAGGCCCUAGCUUUAUAGUUUCACAACCUGUCAUUGGGUAAGAGCAUGUUCUGCAUAUGAUCAGUUUUGAAAUUGUGGUAUGAUACAGACAAAUAAGCAGAUUGUAUAGGGGUUUCAACAGUCUCGUUUGAAGCCAGUAUUUCGUUAUAACCUUCUAGUUUGCCAAUACAACCUGUCAUUGGUUAAAAAGCUGUCUGACGUGUUUCAUACCAAUUGAUAAGCCAUCCUUUACACACGGAUUUUGACUACGGAUUACCCUGUUUACCUGAUAAAGAUUUACGUCGGGUGUGCCCGGUCGACAGGGAAUGUUCACUCCUCCUAGGCACCUGAUUUCACCUCUGAUAUGUCCAAGGCUCUGUGUUUGCCCUUUCCAUAAUUUUUUUCCUUCAUUGGAAUUAUGAGACUCACUGUUCGUUAUCUUCACUUUAGUUAAUUUCUAUAGUAUUAUAUCAUUAGAUAUGACGUAUCAAACACGUAAUCAUCAGACAGAGGACCAGAAAAGUUUCGUGGAUAAUGAUUUUGAAAUAACCCGUCUAACAGACAUCUUCAGGUAGCUGCAUGUAAUUUUCAGCAGGUACAUGGUUGUUGACUGAAAAUAGCAUCAAUUGCGUCACAUAUCCGCUGGUAGCCGGUUUGACUGCACGGUUCUACUCCUCCAAAUGCCAUUGGGAUGACCUGAAAACGGAAGUUGGCGAAACCGGAAGUAAGUUGAGGACUACUACUAAAAAAAAACCGCAGGUGCAACUGAUACAGAACGUGACGAUGAAACUCGUUAUUUGUGCUCAGAUUCCCAUGCUAUGUAGGCGGAAUGUCAGAUUAUCUACAGAAGUAUACUGUUUCCAUGCAGUAAAAAUUUCAAAUUCACAGAAGAAUUUUGUUUCGAGAUAUAAAAGAAAGUCACAAAUCGUGAUUUAUUUAGGUUCGGAGACAGCAGAUUCUACAGUCGCUGAUUGGUGGAUAUCACUCGCCCACAGUUUUCAUGAAAAGACCUUUCGCCCACCGAUUUUGCACCGGAAAUGUCAAUAUCUAAUUGCUUCUACAUAAAAUUGUUAUUCAACGGGAGAGAUAGGUCAUGGAAUAUUUUUUUCCGACUGUGCCCUUUAUAAACGUUUCACUAGACCGUGUAAUAUAUGACGCUAUUCCACAGCCAAAGAACAUAAGAGCAUACGUGGUUCAGAGUGUUUAGUGGUUGUUUUAUAUUAUGAAGAAUAAAAAAAAACUUUUA